GGGGCCGAUUAGGAUUCGACGAAUUACACAAACUCUAAGGUGCAUGCCGUGGGGCGGUUGGCCACGUAAAAAGCCGCAAAAAAAUAGUCGCAAACGACGAAACUUACGCUUUAGCAGCUUAAUAACCUGCUCUUAGCACUUCUGCCCUAGCUUCCGCCAGUAAGACGGGGAUCAACAGAAGUUCAAACCCAAACUUGGAUAGUGCGGAUGCUCCCGCCUGAGAGCUGAACCACGAAAUUUAAUUCAGGAUAGCUUAAGUGUGGCGUGUUUGUCCGCAGCAUUUAAGUGAAAUUAAAGACAAACUAAGCAUGUAGUACCGAGGACGGCGGUACUUCGGACGGGGGUUCAAAUCCCCCCGGCUCCACCA
RNAcentral lists this transfer-messenger RNA (367 nucleotides) under Catenovulum adriaticum. RNAcentral's name for it is "Catenovulum sp. TS8 transfer-messenger RNA". It matches the Rfam family "transfer-messenger RNA". Rfam says of the family: Bacterial tmRNA, also known as 10Sa RNA or SsrA, is named for its dual tRNA and mRNA-like properties. Its role is to liberate the mRNA from a stalled ribosome. The record is from RNAcentral. Lineage: Bacteria; Pseudomonadati; Pseudomonadota; Gammaproteobacteria; Alteromonadales; Alteromonadaceae.